Molecule: transfer RNA, 83 nt
Filed under: Planctomycetota bacterium
Lineage: Bacteria; Pseudomonadati; Planctomycetota
Description: tRNA-Leu
Rfam family: tRNA
About the family: Transfer RNA (tRNA) molecules are approximately 80 nucleotides in length. Their secondary structure includes four short double-helical elements and three loops (D, anti-codon, and T loops).
Source: RNAcentral
GCCCGGGUGGCGGAAUGGCAGACGCAGCGGUUUCAAAAACCGCCGGACUCACGUCCGUGGGGGUUCGAGUCCCCCCCUGGGCA